This 453-nucleotide long non-coding RNA is filed under the name Limulus polyphemus (Atlantic horseshoe crab). RNAcentral's name for it is "uncharacterized LOC111083381, transcript variant X3". Lineage: Eukaryota; Metazoa; Arthropoda; Merostomata; Xiphosura; Limulidae. The record is from RNAcentral.
AAUUCUUGUCGGACUCUAUUUUUACGCACAAUAAAUAAAGAAAUAAGACCAGAUUCUUUAGCAGAAUGGAAGUUCGACCCUUGAUAUCAGUUGGUGGAUGUUUCCUGAUUUGUCUGGCAAUCGGUACACCACUAACGUUUUGAAACCUCACUCCUUACUUAACUUCUUACCUGAGGCAAAGAGGCAGGAAGGACACAACGUAUGAAGAAACUAGCUGGAUAUUCUAUGCAUUUAUCUCUACAUGUUCACUGCUUUAUUUUGGUGGCAAACUAGGUUGUCUCAUUGGACGUCGUUGGAGCAUGAUUAUUGGUUCUUGUAUUUUUAGUUUUGGCAUAGCAGUGACGCACUGGAGUAUACAACACAGCCUGGCAGCUACCAUAAUCACUUACGGAGUGGUUGAUAUCUUAGGUUAUGUCUGUUGCUAUGGUCACCCCCUAGUCACAACUAUAGAGG